This is a non-coding RNA of Acanthosepion pharaonis, 106 nucleotides long. Lineage: Eukaryota; Metazoa; Mollusca; Cephalopoda; Sepiida; Sepiidae. The record is from the annotation of a GenBank genome assembly.
UUACGGCCAUAUCAAGUUGAAACAGUGGUUCCCGUACGAUCACCAAAGCUAAGCAACGUCAAACCUGGUCAGUACCGAAAUGGUCGACCGCUUGGGAAUACUAGAU